RNAcentral lists this ribosomal RNA (818 nucleotides) under uncultured Thauera sp. RNAcentral's name for it is "bacterial SSU rRNA". It matches the Rfam family "Bacterial small subunit ribosomal RNA", at positions 579 to 1397 of the family's 1533-position model. The record is from RNAcentral. Lineage: Bacteria; Pseudomonadati; Pseudomonadota; Betaproteobacteria; Rhodocyclales; Zoogloeaceae.
UUUUGUAAGACAGAUGUGAAAUCCCCGGGCUUAACCUGGGAACUGCGUUUGUGACUGCAAGGCUAGAGUACGGCAGAGGGGGGUGGAAUUCCUGGUGUAGCAGUGAAAUGCGUAGAUAUCAGGAGGAACACCGAUGGCGGAGGCAGCCCCCUGGGCCUGUACUGACGCUCAUGCACGAAAGCGUGGGAGCAAACAGGAUUAGAUACCCUGGUAGUCCACGCCCUAAACGAUGUCGACUAGUCGUUCGGAGCAGCAAUGCACUGAGUGACGCAGCUAACGCGUGAAGUCGACCGCCUGGGGAGUACGGCCGCAAGGUUAAAACUCAAAGGAAUUGACGGGGACCCGCACAAGCGGUGGAUGAUGUGGAUUAAUUCGAUGCAACGCGAAAAACCUUACCUACCCUUGACAUGUCUGGAACCUUGCUGAGAGGCGAGAGUGCCUUCGGGAGCCAGAACACAGGUGCUGCAUGGCUGUCGUCAGCUCGUGUCGUGAGAUGUUGGGUUAAGUCCCGCAACGAGCGCAACCCUUGUCACUAGUUGCCAUCAUUUGGUUGGGCACUCUAGUGAGACUGCCGGUGACAAACCGGAGGAAGGUGGGGAUGACGUCAAGUCCUCAUGGCCCUUAUGGGUAGGGCUUCACACGUCAUACAAUGGUCGGUACAGAGGGUUGCCAAGCCGCGAGGUGGAGCCAAUCCCUUAAAGCCGAUCGUAGUCCGGAUCGUAGUCUGCAACUCGACUACGUGAAGUCGGAAUCGCUAGUAAUCGCAGAUCAGCAACGCUGCGGUGAAUACGUUCCCGGGCCUUGUACACACCGCCCGU